AUACGUAGGGGGCAAGCGUUAUCCGGAUUUACUGGGUGUAAAGGGAGCGUAGACGGCAAAGUAAGUCUGAAGUGAAAGCCCCGGGCUCAACCCGGGAACUGCUUUGGAAACUAUUUAGCUAGAGUGCAGGAGAGGUAAGUGGAAUUCCUAGUGUAGCGGUGAAAUGCGUAGAUAUUAGGAGGAACACCGGCGGCGAAGGCGGCUUACUGGACUGUAACUGACGUUGAGGCUCGAAAGCGUGGGGAGCAAACAGGAUUAGAUACCCUGGUAGUCCACGCCGUAAACGAUGAUCACUAGGUGUUGGGAGGCAAAGCCUUUCGGUGCCGCAGCUAACGCAAUAAGUGAUCCACCUGGGGAGUACGUUCGCAAGAAUGGAACUCAAAUGAAUUGGCGGGG
This 396-nucleotide ribosomal RNA is filed under the name uncultured bacterium. Its description in RNAcentral is "partial 16S ribosomal RNA". It matches the Rfam family "Bacterial small subunit ribosomal RNA", at positions 523 to 918 of the family's 1533-position model. The record is from RNAcentral.